This 370-nucleotide small RNA is filed under the name Histoplasma capsulatum. Its description in RNAcentral is "hypothetical RNA". RNAcentral also lists the same sequence under 1 other name. Lineage: Eukaryota; Fungi; Ascomycota; Eurotiomycetes; Onygenales; Ajellomycetaceae. The record is from RNAcentral.
UGCACUGUACUUGGAACCGACCGGAUUAUUCAAAUUUAAAUCAACAUGUGGAGCUCUCUAGCAAGAGUGCUUUUCGUCUGAUAAUUCUAAGAAUCCAUUCCGAACGUUUUUCUUUAUAAAUUCGAAAAGUCAGUCUUCAAAGAUGACCGUAUAAAGUUGUAUAAAAUGCUUGCAAUUUUUAAUUUUUAACUUUUUUUACUGCGGCCCUGAGAAGGCUUUUCAAGGGAAUUGUAUGGAAAAAUAACAGGCGUGCUAUUAAAUCCAAAGGAUAAGAAAAUGUUGGCGGUUUGGAUUGGCCCAGUGGCCUAGCAGAAAAGGGGUUUGCGGGUAUGAGAAGCUUUAUAUGUCAUACGGAAGCGGAAAGGUGGAG